Molecule: ribosomal RNA, 301 nt
Filed under: uncultured bacterium
Lineage: Bacteria
Description: partial 16S ribosomal RNA
Rfam family: Bacterial small subunit ribosomal RNA
Source: RNAcentral
CAGUCGCCACGGUAAUACGUAGGCAGCGAGCGUUGUUCGGAAUUACUGGGCGUAAAGAGUGUGUAGGCGGUGCUCUAAGUUCGGUGUGAAAUCUCCUGGCUUAACUGGGAGGGUGCGCCGGAAACUGGAAUGCUCGAGCGUGGGAUAGGAAAGCGGAAUUCCUGGUGUAGCGGUGAAAUGCGUAGAUAUCAGGAGGAACACCUGUGGUGUAGACGGCUUUCUGGACCAUUGCUGACGCUGAGACACGAAAGCGUGGGUAGCAAACAGGAUUAGAUACCCCCGUAGUCCCUGUCUCUUAUAC